UCCGGAUUUAUUGGGCGUAAAGGGAGCGCAGGCGGUCAGGAAAGUCUGGAGUAAAAGGCUAUGGCUCAACCAUAGUGUGCUCUGGAAACUNUCUGACUUGAGUGCAGAAGGGGAGAGUGGAAUUCCAUGUGUAGCGGUGAAAUGCGUAGAUAUAUGGAGGAACACCAGUGGCGAAAGCGGCUCUCUGGUCUGUCACUGACGCUGAGGCUCGAAAGCGUGGGUAGCGAACAGGAUUAGAUACCCUGGUAGUCCACGCCGUAAACGAUGAGUGCUAGGUGUUAGGCCCUUUCCGGGGCUUAGUGCCGGAGCUAACGCAAUAAGCACUCCGCCUGGGGAGUACGACCGCAAGGUUGAAACUCAAAGGAAUUGACGGGGGCCCGCACAAGCGGUGGAGCAUGUGGUUUAAUUCGAAGCAACGCGAAGAACCUUACCAGGUCUUGACAUCCCGAUGCUAUUCUUAGAGAUAGGAAGUUACUUCGGUACAUCGGAGACAGGUGGUGCAUGGUUGUCGUCAGCUCGUGUCGUGAGAUGUUGGGUUAAGUCCCGCAACGAGCGCAACCCUUAUUGUUAGUUGCCAUCAUUAAGUUGGGCACUCUAGCGAGACUGCCGGUAAUAAACCGGAGGAAGGUGGGGAUGACGUCAAAUCAUCAUGCCCCUUAUGACCUGGGCUACACACGUGCUACAAUGGUCGGUACAACGAGUUGCGAGCCGGUGACGGCAAGCUAAUCUCUGAAAGCCGAUCUCAGUUCGGAUUGGAGGCUGCAACUCGCCUCCACGAAGUCGGAAUCGCUAGUAAUCGCGGAUCAGCACGCCGCGGUGAAUACGUUCCCGGGCCUUGUACACACCGCCCGUCACACCACGAGAGUUUGUAACACCCGAAGUCGGUGAGGUANCCUUUUAGGGGCCA
This 907-nucleotide ribosomal RNA is filed under the name uncultured bacterium. Its description in RNAcentral is "bacterial SSU rRNA". It matches the Rfam family "Bacterial small subunit ribosomal RNA", at positions 544 to 1451 of the family's 1533-position model. The record is from RNAcentral.